RNAcentral lists this unclassified non-coding RNA (655 nucleotides) under Bidens prestinaria. RNAcentral describes it as "partial external transcribed spacer". The record is from RNAcentral. Lineage: Eukaryota; Viridiplantae; Streptophyta; Magnoliopsida; Asterales; Asteraceae.
CAGGAUCAACCAGGUAGCAUUCCUCGUAGACAUAACCCGCCCGCUGGUAUGAGCCAACACGGGACAGGCAGGUCAUUCAAGGUGAUGUGCCACUUUUUGACAAACCCUCCCGAUGGCAAGGCCGAUUCAGGCAAGACAGUAGGUCAUGAUAACUUUGACAAACCCUCCCGAUGACAAGGCCGUUUCAGGCAAGACAGUAGGUCAUGCUAACUUUGACAAACCCUCCCGAUGGCAAAGCCAAAUCAGGCAAGACAGUAAGCAUUGUUAACGUUUGACAAACCCUCCCGAUGGCAAUGACAAAUCAGGCAAGACAGUAAGCAUUGUUACUUUGACAAACCCUCCCGAUGGCAAUGACAAUUCGGGCAAGACAGUAAGUCGUGCUAAAAGAGGCACAAAAGCUAAAUGAGGGCAAAGAAGGAUCCCAUGAGACCCCAUGCCAACAUCGUUUUCCAUAUCCAGGAUACCAAGCAACACUCAAUGAGCCACAACAUCAACGCAUGCGUUAACAAUGUGGAUCAGAGAGAAUGCUUCGUGGUUCAUCCGAUGCCACCAAAAUGACAUGAGACGAAAUCAACUUUAAUCAGCCAACAAAAUACCAUAGCUUAGGUAUGCAGCACAGAAACCCACAAUUUGGAUAGGCAGUUCAAGCCUAAAC